RNAcentral lists this long non-coding RNA (351 nucleotides) under Penaeus japonicus. RNAcentral describes it as "uncharacterized LOC122257366". Lineage: Eukaryota; Metazoa; Arthropoda; Malacostraca; Decapoda; Penaeidae. The record is from RNAcentral.
AAAUAAAAGAGAAGGAAAGCCUGGAGUGACGCUAGACCACAGCCAAGACUGUCUGAACACGGUUAGCUCUGCACUCCACGCACUUUGCAAUGGGUCUCCUUAAGUGGGUGAUUGCACUCUGCCUCCUCGGUGUGAUGGCAACCUCUGCUCUUACGUCCGACGUCCCGGACAGGCUGACAAGGAGCGCCGACUUCGUGGAUCGGGGGGCACGCGGUGCCGUGUACCCCGAUUACGACGAGGGACCCGAUUUUCUGUUAAAGAUUUAAGUGUGUAAAGGACAAGAUGCCAUGAUGGUACCUUGAAAUGUACUGAUGAUUUAAUAUUUUCGGUUGAAAUAAAUAAAUAGAUCAA